GCAAUUCUCCUGCCUCAGCCUCCCGAGUAGCUGGGAUUACAGGUAAGUGCCACCACACCCAGCUGAUGUUUGUGUUUUUUGUAGAGACGAGGUUUCGCCAUGUUUCCCAGACUGUUCUCAAACUCCUGAGCUCAAAGCAGUCCACCCAUCUUGGCCUCCUAAAGUGCUGGGAUUACAGGUGUGAGCCACCUUGCUCAUUCUAGUUUAAACUUUUGAAUGGUUUGUGUCUCCCGAUUGGACUCCUACAAGUACAGAGUCGAUGCUAGGAAGGGUACCAGGAGAUAGACACACACAGAUGGGAUUUGGGAGUAGGUUUGGUUAUCCAAGGAGCAGUGCUGAGCUCCUUGCUAAUGGGAUAUGGGAUGCUGGUGAUUUCCAGGAAGUGACUUCACAAUGACUCAAGCUACCAUAUACUGUUGAUUGUGAAAUGCCAGUUGAAGCAUAUGUCCUGUGAGCUUAGGGCUGCUACGGGUUGACCACUGCAGCAGUAAAGAUGACUCUGAAGAAUGGCAUGGGAUGGAUCCUUUCGAAUGCACUUGAGCAGCGGUCUCCAACCACAGGGCCACAGAGCUGGAGGUGAGCAGCAGCUGGAUCUACCAUGAACGACUUCUGAAUCCAGGAAGAGAGACUGACUGGGCAACAUGUUAUUCAGGAGAUGGGGUCUCACCCUGUCACCCAGGCUUGAGUACAGUAGUGCUAUCAGCUCGCUGCAGCCUUGAACUCCUGGGCUAAGGAUCCUCCUACCUGAGCCUCCUGAGUAGCUGGGACUGUAGAGUCUCCCUCUGUUGUCCAAGGCUGGAGUGUAGUAGUGCUAUCCCAGCUGACUGCAGCCUCAACCUUCCAGGCUGAAGCGAUCCUCCCAUCUCAACCUCCCACGUGGCUGAGACUAUAGGUGCUUGCCACUAUGCCCAACUAAUAUUCGGAAUUUUCCUAUACGUGGAUUCCAGAGGGGUGACAGUGAAACGCUGGAGUACAGUGGCACAACCUCUGCUCACUGCAGCCUCCACCUGCCAGGCUCAAGCAAUUCUCCUGCCUCAGCCUCCCGAGUAGCUGGGAUUACAGGUAAGUGCCACCACACCCAGCUGAUGUUUGUGUUUUUUGUAGAGACGAGGUUUCGCCAUGUUUCCCAGACUGUUCUCAAACUCCUGAGCUCAAAGCAGUCCACCCAUCUUGGCCUCCUAAAGUGCUGGGAUUACAGGUGUGAGCCACCUUGCUCAUUCUAGUUUAAACUUUUGAAUGGUUUGUGUCUCCCGAUUGGACUCCUACAAGUACAGAGUCGAUGCUAGGAAGGGUACCAGGAGAUAGACACACACAGAUGGGAUUUGGGAGUAGGUUUGGUUAUCCAAGGAGCAGUGCUGAGCUCCUUGCUAAUGGGAUAUGGGAUGCUGGUGAUUUCCAGGAAGUGACUUCACAAUGACUCAAGCUACCAUAUACUGUUGAUUGUGAAAUGCCAGUUGAAGCAUAUGUCCUGUGAGCUUAGGGCUGCUACAGGUUGACCACUGCAGCAGUAAAGAUGACUCUGAAGAAUGGCAUGGGAUGGAUCCUUUCGAAUGCACUUGAGCAGCGGUCUCCAACCACAGGGCCACAGAGCUGGAGGUGAGCAGCAGCUGGAUCUACCAUGAACGACUUCUGAAUCCAGGAAGAGAGACUGACUGGGCAACAUGUUAUUCAGGAGAUGGGGUCUCACCCUGUCACCCAGGCUUGAGUACAGUAGUGCUAUCAGCUCGCUGCAGCCUUGAACUCCUGGGCUAAGGAUCCUCCUACCUGAGCCUCCUGAGUAGCUGGGACUGUAGAGUCUCCCUCUGUUGUCCAAGGCUGGAGUGUAGUAGUGCUAUCCCAGCUGACUGCAGCCUCAACCUUCCAGGCUGAAGCGAUCCUCCCAUCUCAACCUCCCACGUGGCUGAGACUAUAGGUGCUUGCCACUAUGCCCAACUAAUAUUCGGAAUUUUCCUAUACGUGGAUUCCAGAGGGGUGACAGUGAAACGAAGUGACUUCACAAUGACUCAAGCUACCAUAUACUGUUGAUUGUGAAAUGCCAGUUGAAGCAUAUGUCCUGUGAGCUUAGGGCUGCUACAGGUUGACCACUGCAGCAGUAAAGAUGACUCUGAAGAAUGGCAUGGGAUGGAUCCUUUCGAAUGCACUUGAGCAGCGGUCUCCAACCACAGGGCCACAGAGCUGGAGGUGAGCAGCAGGUGAGUGAAGGGAAACUUCAUCUGUAUUUCUAGCCCCUCCCAUCGCUUGCAUGACCACCUGAGCUCCAUGUCCUGUCAGAUCAGCAGCAGCAUUAGAUUCUCAUAGGAACACAAACUCUGUUGUGAAGUGUGCAUGCGAGGGAUCUAGGUUGUGUACGCCUUAAGAGACUCUAAUGCCUGAUAUUCUGUUACUGUCUCCCAUCACCCCAGAUGGACAGUCUAGUUGCAGGAAAACAAGCUCAGAGAUCCCACUGAGUCUACGUUAUAGUGAGUUGUAGAAUCAUUUCAUUAUAUAUUACUAUGUAGUAAUAAUAGAAAUAAAGUGCACAAUAUAUGUAAUGCACUUGAAUCAUCCUGAAAUUAUUCCCUCACUCCCAGUCUGUGGAAAAAUUGUCUUCCACACAUUCACUCUGUUUUAUGGUAGAGGCAGGGUCUUAAUAUAUUGCCCAGGCUGAUCUCAAACUCCUGGCCUCAAGUAAUAGACCUCUCUCAGCCUCCCAAAGUGCUGAGAUUACAGGCAUAAGCCACCACCCUCAACCAAGACUUUCUUAAACCAAAUAAAAAUUAAGUGAGAUUACUUGAGCCCAGGUGGUCAAGGCUGCAGUGAGCCUGAUUGCACCACUGCACUCCAGCCUAGGUGACGGAGUGAGACUGUCUCAAAAAAUAAAAUAAAAUACAAAUUAACCCUUUAUGACGUUCCCAGUAACUUUCCCUCCUAAGUGUUCCCCACAAAUCUUUGAAUUCUGUUUAAU
Molecule: long non-coding RNA, 2944 nt
Organism: Pongo pygmaeus (Bornean orangutan)
Lineage: Eukaryota; Metazoa; Chordata; Mammalia; Primates; Hominidae
Exons: 9
Source: RefSeq, a predicted model, not a curated record